GGGUUCGAUCCUGGCUCAGGAUGAACGCUGGCGGCGUGCUUAACACAUGCAAGUCGAGCGGAGCUUUCAGUGAAUCCCUUUCGGGGGUGAAAGUGAUGAGUUUAGCGGCGGACGGGUGCGUAACGCGUGGGUAAUCUGCCCUUGUCACUGGGAUAACACAUCGAAAGGUGUGCUAAUACCGGAUAACAUGCAGACUCGGCAUCGAGACUGCAUCAAAGAUUUACGGACAAGGAUGAGCCCGCGUCUGAUUAGCUAGUUGGUGGGGUAAAAGCCUACCAAGGCCACGAUCAGUAGCCGACCUGAGAGGGUGAUCGGCCACACUGGAACUGAGACACGGUCCAGACUCCUACGGGAGGCAGCAGUGGGGAAUAUUGCACAAUGGGCGCAAGCCUGAUGCAGCAACGCCGCGUGAGUGAUGAAGGCUUUCGGGUCGUAAAACUCUGUCCUAAGGGAAGAUAAUGACGGUACCUUAGGAGGAAGCCCCGGCUAACUACGUGCCAGCAGCCGCGGUAAUACGUAGGGGGCAAGCGUUAUCCGGGAUUACUGGGCGUAAAGGGUGCGUAGGUGGCCUGAUAAGUCAGGGGUCAAAGGCAACGGCUCAACCGUUGUAAGCCCCUGAAACUAUCGGGCUUGAGUUCAGGAGAGGAAAGCGGAAUUCCAAGUGUAUUCGGAGCAGAGGUGACAGGUGGUGCAUGGUUGUCGUCAGCUCGUGUCGUGAGAUGUUGGGUUAAGUCCCGCAACGAGCGCAACCCUCGUCUUUAGUUGCCAGCAGUUCGGCUGGGCACUCUAGAGAGACUGCCGAGGAUAACUCGGAGGGAGGUGGGGAUGACGUCAAAUCAUCAUGCCCCUUAUGCUUAGGGCUACACACGUGCUACAAUGGCUGUUACAAAGGGUUGCCAAGCCGUGAGGUGGAGCUAAUCCCAGAAAGACAGUCUAAGUUCGGAUUGUAGGCUGAAACUCGCCUACAUGAAGCUGGAGUUACUAGUAAUCGCAGAUCAGAAUGCUGCGGUGAAUGCGUUCCCGGGUCUUGUACACACCGCCCGUCACACCACGGGAGUUGGGGGGGCCCAAAGUCAACUAUCCAACCGCAAGGGGGAAGUUGCCUAAGGCAAAAUCAAUGACUGGGGUGAAGUCGUAACAAGGUAGCCGUAUCGGAAGGUGCGGCUGGAUCACCUCCUUUCU
Molecule: ribosomal RNA, 1182 nt
Filed under: uncultured bacterium
Lineage: Bacteria
Description: bacterial SSU rRNA
Rfam family: Bacterial small subunit ribosomal RNA
Source: RNAcentral